UGAGUCUUCGGACAAGUCCGUUUUUCCAGCCUACAUUGCUUGUGCAAUGGGGAUGAGAUAAUUAUGUAUCAGCAUAACUAUCAGUUCUACAGGCAUACAGUUUUUCCAUAGCCAUAGCUCACCAGACACAUUGAAAAUGUUAGAUAUAGAAGGUUGUUUGCAGUGUUGCUAUAGCCGUAUUGGUCCCAAGAUAUAAGAGACACAAGUGUCAAGCAUCUGGGUGCAGCUGUGGAUUUCUUUCCCCCACUCUGUUUAUAGGCAGUCCAUAGCCUAAUUCAUAUGAACUCGCCAGCAUCAGGUGUCACGCAGCACAGUCUGAUGAAAAACAUAUGUCUGCCGAGGUCUACAUGAGUCCACAGCCUCUGGUGACCCUCCUAACUGGUUGACAAUAGCAUGUAACUGAUGAAGAAAGUGGCAACAAAG
This is a long non-coding RNA of Mauremys reevesii (Reeves's turtle), 423 nucleotides long. RefSeq lists it as uncharacterized. The transcript has 3 exons. NCBI's taxonomy places the organism in Eukaryota, Metazoa, Chordata, Testudines, Geoemydidae. The record is from RefSeq and is a predicted model, not a curated record.